RNAcentral lists this unclassified non-coding RNA (229 nucleotides) under Hevea brasiliensis (rubber tree). Lineage: Eukaryota; Viridiplantae; Streptophyta; Magnoliopsida; Malpighiales; Euphorbiaceae. The record is from RNAcentral.
GGUGGAUUCAAGGGGCUGCUGCCAUGUCGAAUAUGGGAAUGUUUGUGGCUGAGAUGAGCAGCGAUUCUUUCCAACUUCUUGGAAUGGCAGAACGUGGCAUGUUGCCUGAGUUCUUCAGUAAACGGUCUCGUCAUGGGACACCAUUGAUUGGGAUACUAUUCUCAGCCUCAGGUGUUGUUUUGCUUUCAUGGUUAAGCUUCCAAGAAAUUGUAGCGGCAGAGAACUUCUU